RNAcentral lists this transfer RNA (69 nucleotides) under Rattus norvegicus (Norway rat). It matches the Rfam family "tRNA". Rfam says of the family: Transfer RNA (tRNA) molecules are approximately 80 nucleotides in length. Their secondary structure includes four short double-helical elements and three loops (D, anti-codon, and T loops). The record is from Rfam by way of RNAcentral. Lineage: Eukaryota; Metazoa; Chordata; Mammalia; Rodentia; Muridae.
GGGGAUUUAGCCCAGUGGUAGAGCACUUGCCUAGCAAGCACAAGGCCCUGGGUUCGGUCCCCAGCUCCG